CUUUUUAGAAUUUUUACGGCUCUAUAAAUAGCGAAUAUAAUUGCACAUCAGACCAUAAUUCUUCUGGAAACACAAAAUCACAACUCAUCUAUCAAGGAUCGCUUUGCAGUAAGGAAGCUUCUUACAGAAUGCCCAAGAAAAUUUUGUUGAUUUUAGUAUUGUGCAUGGCCUCGGUUUUCCUGUCGAAUGGCGUGGAAGUCAAGACCAGGGCCAGUCCAUGCUAUUGUUCUGUACGACAUAUAAUAGCUUUUGUUGGUCGGGAGAUGGAAGAAGGGGAUCGUUGGUUUUGGAGAGGUUCCUGCCCGUCUGGACAUGGCUACAAGAAAUCUUGCAAAGUUUCCUGGGGGGAUAUUUGUUGUUUCCCAAGAACUUAAUAACAGGUUAUAGAUAAACUGAAGUUAACUAAAAGGUCAGUAGUUCAAAAAAAUGAUAAAUUGGUCAAAUGAAUAGUGAUUAAUUCAAAGAUUAAAACUGAAAUGUCUUCAGAGUGUUAACUUCGAUGUAAGCAUGUUGUAAUCAUGAGCAAAUGAAUUACAAAUAAAAUCACAGGAACUCAAAGA
Molecule: long non-coding RNA, 560 nt
Filed under: Actinia tenebrosa (Australian red waratah sea anemone)
Lineage: Eukaryota; Metazoa; Cnidaria; Anthozoa; Actiniaria; Actiniidae
Description: uncharacterized LOC116308947, transcript variant X2
Source: RNAcentral